Molecule: non-coding RNA, 692 nt
Organism: Lactuca sativa (garden lettuce)
Lineage: Eukaryota; Viridiplantae; Streptophyta; Magnoliopsida; Asterales; Asteraceae
Source: RefSeq, a predicted model, not a curated record
GACCGAUCAUUAUGAUGUUCGAAAGAAAAUCACUCAUUCCAGAAAACCCUUGUCACUGCGAUUUUCUGUUUUUAGCUUUUUAAAAACCGAAAAAAAAACAGAGCCAUUGGAAGCACUUGACAGGAUUAAAAAUGGUACCUUUUUUGUUUUUUAUAUUCUUUUUUAUCGUUCUAAAAUUAAAGGUAUGCAGUUUAAUUUGAUGUUGUAUUUGGGAUUGCACGCAGACCUUAUGGUACCUGGGUUUAUUUCGUUGGUUAUGUUGUUUAGAACUCCGUUGCAUAGAUUUGUAUUUCUAACAAGCUUUUUGUGUUUCGUGUUGAUAUGAUAAAUUGAUAAUACUAUAGAAAUGAUUGAAUUUGGAUGAAUUUUCAGGGUGAUCUUAGAAGCUAUCUUCAAAAGAUAGGAAAGUUGUCCCCAUCAAAAGCUCUUACAUUUGCUCUGGAUAUUGGGAGGCAAGUAGUUUUUUUAACCUCAGUUUAUGUGAAUCAGGAGAAAAAAGGGGUAUGAGUUAUCUUCAUGACAGUAAGACAUAUCCAAUUAUCCACUGUGAUUUAAGGCCAAAGGUGCCAGAAAUAAUUUGCUGGAUAGUGGGGGCCAAUUGAAAGUUGCAGAUAUAUAGGCAAGAGUUAUAGGUUUAUAUACGUAUUAUAUUCUUUAUUUUUAUAAUUGUUGUUUUAAUUUAUUUUUGAUUU